UGAGUGAAGAAGGUUUUUCGAUCGUAAAACUCUGUUGUUGGAGAAGAAUGUAUUUGAUAGUAACUGAUCAGGUAGUGACGGUAUCCAACCAGAAAGCCACGGCUAACUACGUGCCAGCAGCCGCGGUAAUACGUAGGUGGCAAGCGUUGUCCGGAUUUAUUGGGCGUAAAGCGAGCGCAGGCGGUUUCUUAAGUCUGAUGUGAAAGCCUUCGGCUCAACCGAAGAAGUGCAUCGGAAACUGGGAAACUUGAGUGCAGAAGAGGACAGUGGAACUCCAUGUGUAGCGGUGAAAUGCGUAGAUAUAUGGAAGAACACCAGUGGCGAAGGCGGCUGUCUGGUCUGUAACUGACGCUGAGGCUCGAAAGCAUGGGUAGCAAACAGGAUUAGAUACCCUGGUAGUCCAUGCCGUAAACGAUGAGUGCUAGGUGUUGGAGGGUUUCCGCCCUUCAGUGCCGCAGCUAACGCAUUAAGCACUCCGCCUGGGGAGUACGACCGCAAGGUUGAAACUCAAAGGAAUUGACGGGGGCCCGCACAAGCGGUGGAGCAUGUGGUUUAAUUCGAAGCAACGCGAAGAACCUUACCAGGUCUUGACAUCCUUUGACCACUCUAGAGAUAGAGCUUUCCCUUCGGGGACAAAGUGACAGGUGGUGCAUGGUUGUCGUCAGCUCGUGUCGUGAGAUGUUGGGUUAAGUCCCGCAACGAGCGCAACCCUUAUUACUAGUUGCCAGCAUUUAGUUGGGCACUCUAGUGAGACUGCCGGUGACAAACCGGAGGAAGGUGGGGACGACGUCAAAUCAUCAUGCCCCUUAUGACCUGGGCUACACACGUGCUACAAUGGAUGGUACAACGAGUUGCGAGACCGCGAGGUUUAGCUAAUCUCUUAAAACCAUUCUCAGUUCGGAUUGUAGGCUGCAACUCGCCUACAUGAAGCCGGAAUCGCUAGUAAUCGCGGAUCAGCAUGCCGCGGUGAAUACGUUCCCGGGCCUUGUACACACCGCCCGUCACACCAUGAGAGUUUGUAACACCCAAAGCCGGUGAGGUAACCCUUCGGGAGCCAGCCGUCUAAG
RNAcentral lists this ribosomal RNA (1067 nucleotides) under Latilactobacillus sakei. RNAcentral describes it as "bacterial SSU rRNA". It matches the Rfam family "Bacterial small subunit ribosomal RNA", at positions 402 to 1461 of the family's 1533-position model. The record is from RNAcentral. Lineage: Bacteria; Bacillati; Bacillota; Bacilli; Lactobacillales; Lactobacillaceae.